UCAGGCGAGUGAGAUGAUCGCCUGGCCGUGCAUACGGCUGGGAGGAAAGUCCGAACACCUUAACAAAUGGUAGUGGGUAACGCCCACCCACUCUGAUGCGAGUCAGGGUGAGGACCAGUGCCACAGAGACGAUACUAGUCCCGCGUUGCGGGAUCAAAGGUGAAAAGUGUCGUGAGGUUUUGAGCUGAACACGGGAUAUCCCUUCAGCAUAAGGCUACGCGACUCGGCGCCUGGCGACAGGCUGCCCGUGGUAAACUCUACCUGGUGCAAUGCCAAAUUUGGUCGGCAGCUUGAGGCCGGCAGUAAUGCCGGUCCCAGAUAGAUGAUCAUCACUUUGGUGCAAACCAGAGGACAGAAUUCGGCUUACGGCUGGCCUGAACAA
Non-coding RNA from Candidatus Buchananbacteria bacterium, 382 nucleotides. The record is from Rfam. Lineage: Bacteria; Candidatus Buchananiibacteriota.